This is a non-coding RNA of Podarcis lilfordi (Lilford's wall lizard), 69 nucleotides long. The record is from the annotation of a GenBank genome assembly. NCBI's taxonomy places the organism in Eukaryota, Metazoa, Chordata, Lepidosauria, Squamata, Lacertidae.
GGGCAGGACUGAGUGGCAGAGCAUCUGCCUUGUGAGCAGAAGGGCUGGGUUCAACCCACAGCAUCCCCA